This 796-nucleotide ribosomal RNA is filed under the name uncultured Planctomycetota bacterium. RNAcentral's name for it is "bacterial SSU rRNA". It matches the Rfam family "Bacterial small subunit ribosomal RNA", at positions 69 to 874 of the family's 1533-position model. Lineage: Bacteria; Pseudomonadati; Planctomycetota. The record is from RNAcentral.
UCCCGGCCCCGCAAGGGGCCGGGGGAAGUGGCGAAAGGGGCAGUAAGGCGUGGGUAACCUGCCCCGGAGUUCGGAAUAGCCCCCCUAACGGGGGGAUAAUACCGAAUGCCGUGUCGGAGGGGCCUCCUUCUGACACGAAAGCUCCGGCGCUCCGGGAGGGGCCCACGUAGUAUUAGCUAGUUGGUGGGGUGACGGCCCACCAAGGCCAAGAUGCUUAGCGGGUGUGAGAGCACGACCCGCGCCACUGGCACUGGGACACUGGCCAGACUCCUACGGGAGGCUGCAGUCGAGGAUCUUCGGCAAUGGGCGCAAGCCUGACCGAGCGACGCCGCGUGCGCGAUGAAGGCCUUCGGGUUGUAAAGCGCUGUCGGGAGGGAGAAAGGCCGCAAGGCUUGAUCGACCUCCGGAGGAAGCACGGGCUAAGUUCGUGCCAGCAGCCGCGGUAAGACGAACCGUGCGAACGUUGUUCGGAAUCACUGGGCUUAAAGGGCGCGUAGGCGGGCUCGCGAGUCCGGGGUGAAAGCCCCCAGCUCAACUGGGGAAGCGCCUUGGAUACUGCGGGCCUCGAGGGGGGUAGGGGCGCGCGGAACUUCCGGUGGAGCGGUGAAAUGCGUAGAUAUCGGAAGGAACACCGGUGGCGAAAGCGGCGCGCUGGACCCCUUCUGACGCUGAGGCGCGAAAGCCAGGGGAGCAAACGGGAUUAGAUACCCCGGUAGUCCUGGCCCUAAACGUUGGGCACUANGUUGUGGACUUACAUGGGUUCACAGCCGAAGCAAAAGUGUUAAGUGCCCCGCCU